This 400-nucleotide ribosomal RNA is filed under the name uncultured bacterium. RNAcentral describes it as "bacterial SSU rRNA". It matches the Rfam family "Bacterial small subunit ribosomal RNA", at positions 355 to 752 of the family's 1533-position model. The record is from RNAcentral.
UGAGGAAUAUUGGUCAAUGGACGAGAGUCUGAACCAGCCAAGUCGCGUGAAGGAAGACGGUUCUAUGAAUUGUAAACUUCUUUUGUGCAGGAAUAAAGUGGGUUACGUGUAACCUUUUGUAUGUACUGUACGAAUAAGGAUCGGCUAACUCCGUGCCAGCAGCCGCGGUAAUACGGAGGAUCCGAGCGUUAUCCGGAUUUAUUGGGUUUAAAGGGUGCGUAGGUGGAUUGAUAAGUCAGCGGUGAAAGUUUGCAGCUUAACUGUAAAAUUGCCGUUGAAACUGUCGGUCUUGAGUGCAAAUGAGGUAGGCGGAAUGUGUUGUGUAGCGGUGAAAUGCUUAGAUAUAACACAGAACUCCGAUUGCGAAGGCAGCUUACUGGGAUGCAACUGACACUGAUGC